Molecule: ribosomal RNA, 702 nt
Filed under: uncultured bacterium
Lineage: Bacteria
Description: bacterial SSU rRNA
Rfam family: Bacterial small subunit ribosomal RNA
Source: RNAcentral
GAGUAAUAUAUCGGAACGUACCCUGGAGUGGGGGAUAACGUAGCGAAAGUUACGCUAAUACCGCAUACGAUCUAAGGAUGAAAGUGGGGGAUUCGCAAGAACCUCAUGCUCCUGGAGCGGCCGAUAUCUGAUUAGCUAGUUGGUGGGGUAAAGGCCUACCAAGGCAUCGAUCAGUAGCUGGUCUGAGAGGACGACCAGCCACACUGGAACUGAGACACGGUCCAGACUCCUACGGGAGGCAGCAGUGGGGAAUUUUGGACAAUGGGCGAAAGCCUGAUCCAGCAAUGCCGCGUGAGUGAAGAAGGCCUUCGGGUUGUAAAGCUCUUUUGUCAGGGAAGAAACGGUGAGAGCUAAUAUCUCUUGCUAAUGACGGUACCUGAAGAGUAAGCACCGGCUAACUACGUGCCAGCAGCCGCGGUAAUGCGUAGGGUGCAAGCGUUAAUCGGAAUUACUGGGCGUAAAGCGUGCGCAGGCGGUUUUGUAAGUCUGUCGUGAAAUCCCCGGGCUCAACCUGGGAAUUGCGAUGGAGACUGCAAGGCUAGACUCUGGUAGAGGGGGGUAGAAUUCCACGUGUAGCAGUGAAAUGCGUAGAGAUGUGGAGGAACACCGAUGGCGAAGGCAGCCCCCUGGGUCAAGAUUGACGCUCAUGCACGAAAGCGUGGGGAGCAAACAGGAUUAGAUACCCUGGUAGUCCACGCCCUA